This 804-nucleotide ribosomal RNA is filed under the name Streptomyces sp. Its description in RNAcentral is "bacterial SSU rRNA". It matches the Rfam family "Bacterial small subunit ribosomal RNA", at positions 67 to 883 of the family's 1533-position model. The record is from RNAcentral. Lineage: Bacteria; Bacillati; Actinomycetota; Actinomycetes; Kitasatosporales; Streptomycetaceae.
CGAUGAAGCUCCUUCGGGAGUGGAUUAGUGGCGAACGGGUGAGUAACACGUGGGCAAUCUGCCCUGCACUCUGGGACAAGCCCUGGAAACGGGGUCUAAUACCGGAUAUGACGCGUGACCGCAUGGUCUGCGCGUGGAAAGCUCCGGCGGUGCAGGAUGAGCCCGCGGCCUAUCAGCUUGUUGGUGGGGUAAUGGCCUACCAAGGCGACGACGGGUAGCCGGCCUGAGAGGGCGACCGGCCACACUGGGACUGAGACACGGCCCAGACUCCUACGGGAGGCAGCAGUGGGGAAUAUUGCACAAUGGGCGAAAGCCUGAUGCAGCGACGCCGCGUGAGGGAUGACGGCCUUCGGGUUGUAAACCUCUUUCAGCAGGGAAGAAGCGAAAGUGACGGUACCUGCAGAAGAAGCGCCGGCUAACUACGUGCCAGCAGCCGCGGUAAUACGUAGGGCGCGAGCGUUGUCCGGAAUUAUUGGGCGUAAAGAGCUCGUAGGCGGCUUGUCACGUCGGAUGUGAAAGCCCGGGGCUUAACCCCGGGUCUGCAUUCGAUACGGGCAGGCUAGAGUUCGGUAGGGGAGAUCGGAAUUCCUGGUGUAGCGGUGAAAUGCGCAGAUAUCAGGAGGAACACCGGUGGCGAAGGCGGAUCUCUGGGCCGAUACUGACGCUGAGGAGCGAAAGCGUGGGGAGCGAACAGGAUUAGAUACCCUGGUAGUCCACGCCGUAAACGUUGGGAACUAGGUGUGGGCGACAUUCCACGUUGUCCGUGCCGCAGCUAACGCAUUAAGUUCCCCGCCUGGGGAGUAC